This 204-nucleotide unclassified non-coding RNA is filed under the name Hevea brasiliensis (rubber tree). Lineage: Eukaryota; Viridiplantae; Streptophyta; Magnoliopsida; Malpighiales; Euphorbiaceae. The record is from RNAcentral.
CCAUAUAUAUAACACCCAAGACCUUCGUGCAGAACCGAUGUGGAAUGCAUCAUUCUCGACCCUUUUAGACUGAACGUCCUCGUGAAGUAAUCAGAGUCAUGAUUUGUUCACCUCGACGUCUGUCGAAGAAUAGUAGGGAACCUUUGUACGUGGCCUACUGACUCAUAUAGACUGAGGCUCUGAUAUCAAAAUUGAUGCGAACAU